UACGGAGGAUGCGAGCGUUGUCCGGAUUUAUUGGGUUUAAAGGGAGCGUAGACGGGUUUUUAAGUCAGCUGUGAAAGUUUGGGGCUCAACCUUAAAAUUGCAGUUGAAACUGGAGACCUUGAGUACGGUUGAGGCAGGCGGAAUUCGUGGUGUAGCGGUGAAAUGCUUAGAUAUCACGAAGAACCCCGAUUGCGAAGGCAGCCUGCUAAGCCGCCACUGACGUUGAGGCUCGAAAGUGCGGGUAUCAAACAGG
This 253-nucleotide ribosomal RNA is filed under the name Phocaeicola coprophilus DSM 18228 = JCM 13818. RNAcentral's name for it is "partial 16S ribosomal RNA". It matches the Rfam family "Bacterial small subunit ribosomal RNA", at positions 524 to 776 of the family's 1533-position model. Lineage: Bacteria; Pseudomonadati; Bacteroidota; Bacteroidia; Bacteroidales; Bacteroidaceae. The record is from RNAcentral.